Salarias fasciatus (jewelled blenny) is the source of this 131-nucleotide small nucleolar RNA. Its record names the gene SNORA71. It matches the Rfam family "Small nucleolar RNA SNORA71". Rfam says of the family: The members of this family belong to the H/ACA class of snoRNAs which bind a number of proteins (including dyskerin, Gar1p and Nop10p) to form snoRNP complexes. This class of snoRNAs are thought to guide the sites of modification of uridines to pseudouridines by forming direct base pairing interactions with substrate RNAs. NCBI's taxonomy places the organism in Eukaryota, Metazoa, Chordata, Actinopteri, Blenniiformes, Blenniidae. The record is from Ensembl.
UCCUGCAUCGAAAGGUGGUCGUGGCGUGUUCAGUGGCCCGGCCAUUGGUUAACUGCAGGGACAUGAAACCGCGAGCCUUUCCCGUGUUUGAAGGAUGUUCCGUUCCUGUCAGACCCUGGUGCUCGCGAACA